This 1025-nucleotide unclassified non-coding RNA is filed under the name Acanthaster planci (crown-of-thorns starfish). Its description in RNAcentral is "uncharacterized LOC110974753, transcript variant X5". The record is from RNAcentral. Lineage: Eukaryota; Metazoa; Echinodermata; Asteroidea; Valvatida; Acanthasteridae.
UUAAAGUACAUGUACAGUACACCUGCUGGCCAUACCCGGCCCCGCAUCCAGUGACGGGUACCCUGCGUGUGUACGCAUGAUCCAGCACGUGCGCGAACACAAGUCAUUAAAAGUCCAACUUAGACAUGUCAUACCAGUGAAAUGUCAAAGCUUUUAUAGUCGGGCCGCUAGAACAUGCAUGUAAAGGUUCAGUAAACAACAGGCAUUAUUUCGGAAAGAGGAAAGCGCCUUUCUACCGUACGAUGAUAAGCUGGUUUUAAGAACAACAAAGACAUUGAUGAAGAGAAUCUCAUGUGAGGAAUUUCUUUCUCUGAGUGUCAACCUGUUGAGGCUCAACAGGUCAUCUCAUUACACCUGCAAAAUAAUCAGUGAUGGGACCAUAAUGACAUGUUUACAGGAUGACUGAAUUCAAUCCUACUGACCAGCAAGGUCUUUAUCGCACAGCGGAAUACUACGCUUUUCAAGCAAAUAUCAGGCAGGCAUCCGGAAGAUGAUCAUCAACAAGUUUUCUUCACAAAGAUAAGUCUAAAAGUUGGAGACAGGUGUACCUUGGAAGUGAGGUUACAGCUGUACAAUUUCAUUUUCUGUAAACCAAAGUUAGUCCGUUAUGUCCCUCUCUGUAAUGUAGUUUCAUCUUCUUUACGAAACCUUUGUACUUCUGACAAACUCACACGAUCACGCUUCUCUGCUAUUCUACAUGUAUACUUAUUUAUUUCUACAGUAGUGCUAGCAGAUGUGAUACACAGCAAGUCAAAAUCUCGAAGACCCUCUUUCCCUCUCUCCUCUUUAUAACCCAUCUUAUUCCCAUCUAAUUUCUAAGACAAUAUCUGUGCACUUCAAGAAGGUUUAUGUGGUCAGUCCAGGAUAUAGUGUGGUUAGCCCCAACCACUUCCAGUCCCUUAGAUUUCAUUUUUACGACUUUGCGUGAGCCCAAUUUCCCCCUUAAUUGACCACGACCUUCCUCUACAUGCUUGUGGUUCCUUACUCAGAAUUUCUUCAUGACACCCUCCAAUAUGCAGCAUAUG